GGACUAAUUUAAAAAUUGUUGCUUUCCAAUUUUGCUAAAAUGUUUUGUUGAAUAUCUAUUUAAUGUUUCCUUAGAGCCUAUUAGUGCUCUCAUUAAUAACAAAGUAUAAAAUAUUGUUUGCAUGAAGACAUUCAAUUUUUUUGCUAGUAUUGUACAGUGUUUUUGACUAUUUUGCUAUAAUAGCUUUAACUGAGCAUUUCCUACUUAUAUUUUUUUCCAGUGGCAAUUUUAAAACUGCUCGUGAAAACAUAUUAAGCAGAACACAUUACAGAUUAUGUUAACAAAAUACAUUUUACAUUUUUUAUACUCUUACUUGGGUAUCUAUCACAUGUAUUAGAACAUUUUUAAUGUUGAAAACAUUUUUAAUUGUGAAAUUAUAACAAUAUGGAGGAAUGAUUGGAAGUAAUAAUUUAGAAUGGAAAGAAAAUAAAAGAUCAAGGGCACUCUAGAUAUUAACUAUUUUAAAAGGAAAUAAAUACUGUUAGAAUAAUACAAAUUUGAAGCUAUAGUAAUUCUGUUACUCUGUAUCUGCAUUUAAAUGUGCUAAACAGACCUAAGAAAAUUAAAACCUUGUGAAAUUGGUAUUUGAAUGCAAGAAAAUGUGAAGCUGAGUGUUGUCUAUGUGUUAUUAGAAAUGAAGUCUGAAGUCUUGCAAUCUUCCCUGGAGGGUUAUUGAAUGAAAAAGAGUGAUAAGAGAGAACUUGGCAUGACCCCUGCAGUUAAAAAAAAAACAACAAAAAACAACUAAGAGUACUUCAUUUCAUGAAUCUGUAUAAUGCACUGAAGAGACUCAAAAUGACUUGCCGUACACAGAAGAAGAGUUCGGUAAGAACCUGUGGUGGAGUCACUCUCCUUUCUCCUUCAGCCAGGAGUGCAUGACCAAGUGCCCAGUGGGAAUGGGUUCCAGAAAAACACCCCCUCUACUUCCACAUUUCCUUCCAUUGGACAUGUUUGGCAGAAUUUGCUAUUCUUCUCUAGCCAUUUGAAUGUUUAGAACCUACUGUGUUGUGACAAUGGUAACAAUAUUUGACACAAAUUGAUGAAAAUGUGUCAUGCCUCUAUUUUGAAAUGCUUGAUAAAUAAAGAGGAG
Molecule: long non-coding RNA, 1090 nt
Filed under: Felis catus (domestic cat)
Lineage: Eukaryota; Metazoa; Chordata; Mammalia; Carnivora; Felidae
Description: lncRNA (ENSFCAG00000048656.1)
Source: RNAcentral